AUACGUAUGUCCCAAGCGUUAUCCGGAUUUAUUGGGCGUAAAGCGAGCGCAGACGGUUAUUUAAGUCUGAAGUGAAAGCCCUCAGCUCAACUGAGGAAUUGCUUUGGAAACUGGAUGACUUGAGUGCAGUAGAGGAAAGUGGAACUCCAUGUGUAGCGGUGGAAUGCGUAGAUAUAUGGAAGAACACCAGUGGCGAAGGCGGCUUUCUGGACUGUAACUGACGUUGAGGCUCGAAAGUGUGGGUAGCAAACAGGAUUAGAUACCCUGGUAGUCCACACCGUAAACGAUGAGUGCUAGGUGUUUGGGGGUUUCCGCCCCUAAGUGCCGCAGCUAACGCAUUAAGCACUCCGCCUGGGGAGUACGACCGCAAGGUUGAA
This 377-nucleotide ribosomal RNA is filed under the name uncultured Weissella sp. RNAcentral describes it as "bacterial SSU rRNA". It matches the Rfam family "Bacterial small subunit ribosomal RNA", at positions 523 to 898 of the family's 1533-position model. The record is from RNAcentral. Lineage: Bacteria; Bacillati; Bacillota; Bacilli; Lactobacillales; Lactobacillaceae.